RNAcentral lists this ribosomal RNA (438 nucleotides) under uncultured bacterium. RNAcentral's name for it is "bacterial SSU rRNA". It matches the Rfam family "Bacterial small subunit ribosomal RNA", at positions 355 to 786 of the family's 1533-position model. The record is from RNAcentral.
UGGGAAGUAUUGCGCAAUGGGCGAAAGCCUGACGCAGCGACGCCGCGUGAGGGAUGAAGGUCUUCGGAUCGUAAACCUCUGUCAGCAGGGAAGAAAGUUAUAUGUGCUAAUCAGCGUGUAAUUGACGGUACCUGCAAAGGAAGCACCGGCUAACUCCGUGCCAGCAGCCGCGGUAAUACGGAGGGUGCAGCGUUAAUCGGAAUUACUGGGCGUAAAGCGCUCGUAGGUAGUGUGACAAGUCAAGGGUGAAAUCCCCGUGCUCAACAUGGGAACUGCCUUUGAAACUGUUAUACUUGAGUGUGUGAGAGGAUAGUGGAAUUCCUAGGUGUAGGAGUGAAAUCCGUAGAUAUCUGGAGGAACAUCAGUGGCGAAGGCGACUAUCUGGCACAUAACUGACACUGAGGAGCGAAGCGUGGGUAGCAAACAGGAUUAGAUACC